AGAUUGAACGCUGGCGGCAGGCCUAACACAUGCAAGUCGAGCGGGGUUUUCGGACCUAGCGGCGGACGGGUGAGUAAUGCGUAGGAAGCUGCCCGAUAGAGGGGGAUACCAGUUGGAAACGACUGUUAAUACCGCAUAAUGUCUACGGACCAAAGUGUGGGACCUUCGGGCCACAUGCUAUCGGAUGCGCCUACGUGGGAUUAGCUAGUUGGUGAGGUAACGGCUCACCAAGGCGACGAUCUCUAGCUGGUUUGAGAGGAUGAUCAGCCACACUGGAACUGAGACACGGUCCAGACUCCUACGGGAGGCAGCAGUGGGGAAUAUUGGACAA
RNAcentral lists this ribosomal RNA (331 nucleotides) under uncultured bacterium. RNAcentral describes it as "bacterial SSU rRNA". It matches the Rfam family "Bacterial small subunit ribosomal RNA", at positions 26 to 371 of the family's 1533-position model. The record is from RNAcentral.